RNAcentral lists this ribosomal RNA (368 nucleotides) under uncultured organism. RNAcentral describes it as "bacterial LSU rRNA". It matches the Rfam family "Bacterial large subunit ribosomal RNA", at positions 2099 to 2465 of the family's 2925-position model. The record is from RNAcentral.
CUUUACUGCAACCUGGAAUUGAAUUUGAGCUUUUUUUGCGCAGACUAGGUGGGAGGCGUUGAAGAUUUUUUUUCGGGAAAAUGUGAGCCAUCAAUGAGAGACCACUCUGAAAAGGCUAGAAUUCUAAUGGCGUUCCUUGAAGCAGGACGCUUGACAGUUUCAGGCGGGCAGUUUGACUGGGGCGGUCAUCUCUUAAAAGGUAACAGAGAUGUGCAAAGGUUCCUUCAGGCUGGACGGAAAUCAGCUGUAGAGUAUAAAGGCAAAAGGGAGCUUGACUGCAAGACCUACAAGUCAAACAGAGGCGAAAGCCGGCCUUAGUGAUCCGACAGUACCGAGUGGAAGGGCUGUCGCUAAACGGAUAAAAGUUA